AGCAACCGACCGAGCAUGACCGUGAAUGAUGCCCGAUCCAUUGAAUAGACAGACACGAGGGCACCCAUGGUUUGCCACUAGGCAUCACAAUGAUGAUGAUGAUGAUCGUGAUCAUAAGCGGCAUGGGCCCCAACCGUGCCUGGCCCAAUGCUGACCACAUGACACGAUGAUGGGGGUGCCUCCAUCAAUUUGCCAUGGAGCUCCACGCU
Molecule: long non-coding RNA, 209 nt
Filed under: Elaeis guineensis (African oil palm)
Lineage: Eukaryota; Viridiplantae; Streptophyta; Magnoliopsida; Arecales; Arecaceae
Description: long non-coding RNA (EGUI_LNC025427)
Source: RNAcentral